This 253-nucleotide ribosomal RNA is filed under the name uncultured bacterium. RNAcentral's name for it is "partial 16S ribosomal RNA". It matches the Rfam family "Bacterial small subunit ribosomal RNA", at positions 524 to 776 of the family's 1533-position model. The record is from RNAcentral.
UACAGAGGGUGCGAGCGUUAAUCGGAAGUACUGGGCGUAAAGGGCGCGUAGGCGGCCGCCUAAGUCAGACGUGAAAUCCCUCGGCUCAACCGGGGAACUGCGUCUGAUACUGGGUGGCUUGAAUCCGGGAGAGGGAUGCGGAAUUCCAGGUGUAGCGGUGAAAUGCGUAGAUAUCUGGAGGAACACCGGUGGCGAAGGCGGCAUCCUGGACCGGCAUUGACGCUGAGGCGCGAAAGCCAGGGGAGCAAACGGG